RNAcentral lists this unclassified non-coding RNA (239 nucleotides) under Ascomycota sp. RNAcentral's name for it is "partial contains small subunit ribosomal RNA, internal transcribed spacer 1, and 5.8S ribosomal RNA". The stretch from base 1 to 47 matches the Rfam family "Eukaryotic small subunit ribosomal RNA", at positions 1785 to 1831 of the family's 1831-position model. The record is from RNAcentral. Lineage: Eukaryota; Fungi; Ascomycota.
AAAGUCGUAACAAGGUCUCCGUUGGUGAACCAGCGGAGGGAUCAUUACCGAGUUUACAACUCCCAAACCCCAUGUGAACCUUACCUACACGUUGCUUCGGCGGCCACGCCCCGGCGCCCCAGUGCCCGGAACCAGGCGCCCGCCGGAGGACCCCCAAACCAUUGCUGUUUCUAGUGGCAUUGUCUGAGUGGCGUAAAGCAAAUCAAUCAAAACUUUCAACAACGGAUCUCUUGGUUCUG